AUACAUUCUUGAACCGGGCAGGAUCAUAGUUGGUAAUAGUGCUCAUAGCAGGCUCUAUCCUAAAGUUUUUAUUUAUAUAUUAUGCCGGUGCAAAUGUGAUGAAUUUGAUGACUAGAAGCAAUGGAGAUGCUUUAAGAGGUUCUGGUGUUGUGAGAUCGUUUGACAAUAUGGGUGUAAAUGCACAAUCUGGUGGCACUAUAUAUGGGAGAGAUGCCAUAUAAAAAAAACUUUUAAAAGUUUGAGGUGACUGAUUUUGAUUGGAGAGAUAAGAUGCCGGAGUGCCCGGUUAUUAUCCAGGUAAGGAACAGUUUGAGAACCCUUUGGCGUACCUGCAAAAGAUUGCCCUAAUUGCUUCAAAAUAUGGUAUAUGCAAGAUUGUUUCGCCUUUGAGUGCUUCUAUUCUCACAGACGUGGUUUUUAUAAAGAGAAAGCUGGCUUUAGGUUUAUAGCUAUAGUGCAACCUCUUCGUCUGAGUAAGUGAAUGGAUUAUUGAGGAUAAGGUUACCUUUUACCUG
This 515-nucleotide long non-coding RNA is filed under the name Helianthus annuus (common sunflower). Its description in RNAcentral is "sRNA HanXRQr2_Chr09g0383921". The record is from RNAcentral. Lineage: Eukaryota; Viridiplantae; Streptophyta; Magnoliopsida; Asterales; Asteraceae.